This 481-nucleotide ribosomal RNA is filed under the name uncultured bacterium. Its description in RNAcentral is "bacterial SSU rRNA". It matches the Rfam family "Bacterial small subunit ribosomal RNA", at positions 30 to 507 of the family's 1533-position model. The record is from RNAcentral.
AUUGAACGCUGGCGGCAUGCCUUACACAUGCAAGUCGAACGGUAACGGGCCUUCGGGUGCCGACGAGUGGCGAACGGGUGAGUAAUGUAUCGGAACGUACCUUUCAUGGGGGAUAACGUAGCGAAAGUUACGCUAAUACCGCAUAUUCUGUGAGCAGGAAAGCAGGGGAUCGCAAGACCUUGCGCUGAUUGAGCGGCCGAUAUCAGAUUAGCUAGUUGGUGAGGUAAAGGCUCACCAAGGCGACGAUCUGUAGCGGGUCUGAGAGGAUGAUCCGCCACACUGGAACUGAGACACGGUCCAGACUCCUACGGGAGGCAGCAGUGGGGAAUUUUGGACAAUGGGGGCAACCCUGAUCCAGCCAUGCCGCGUGAGUGAAGAAGGCCUUCGGGUUGUAAAGCUCUUUCGGCCGGGAAGAAAUCGUAUGGGUUAAUACCCUGUGCGGAUGACGGUACCGGCAUAAGAAGCACCGGCUAACUACGUG